This 601-nucleotide ribosomal RNA is filed under the name bacterium PQS-3. Its description in RNAcentral is "bacterial SSU rRNA". It matches the Rfam family "Bacterial small subunit ribosomal RNA", at positions 47 to 669 of the family's 1533-position model. The record is from RNAcentral.
CUUAACAUGCAGUCGAGCGGUAGGCCUUUCGGGGUACACGAGCGGCGAACGGGUGAGUAACACGUGGGUGAUCUGCCCUGCACUUCGGGAUAAGCCUGGGAAACUGGGUCUAAUACCGGAUAUGACCUCCUAUCGCAUGGUGGGUGGUGGAAAGAUUUAUCGGUGCAGGAUGGGCCCGCGGCCUAUCAGCUUGUUGGUGGGGUAAUGGCCUACCAAGGCGACGACGGGUAGCCGACCUGAGAGGGUGACCGGCCACACUGGGACUGAGACACGGCCCAGACUCCUACGGGAGGCAGCAGUGGGGAAUAUUGCACAAUGGGCGAAAGCCUGAUGCAGCGACGCCGCGUGAGGGAUGACGGCCUUCGGGUUGUAAACCUCUUUCAGCAGGGACGAAGCGCAAGUGACGGUACCUGCAGAAGAAGCACCGGCUAACUACGUGCCAGCAGCCGCGGUAAUACGUAGGGUGCAAGCGUUGUCCGGAAUUACUGGGCGUAAAGAGUUCGUAGGCGGUUUGUCGCGUCGUUUGUGAAAACCAGCAGCUCAACUGCUGGCUUGCAGGCGAUACGGGCAGACUUGAGUACUGCAGGGGAGACUGGAAUUC